This 325-nucleotide ribosomal RNA is filed under the name uncultured eukaryote. Its description in RNAcentral is "partial 18S ribosomal RNA". It matches the Rfam family "Eukaryotic small subunit ribosomal RNA", at positions 1470 to 1796 of the family's 1831-position model. The record is from RNAcentral.
CCCUUAGAUGUUCUGGGCUGCACGCGCGCUACACUGAUGCAUCCAACAAGUUUUUUCCUUGUUCGAGAGGACUAGGUAAUCUUAUGAGAAUGCAUCGUGAUGGGGAUAGAUUAUUGCAAUUAUUAAUCUUCAACGAGGAAUUCCUAGUAAGCGCGAGUCAUCAGCUCGUGCUGAUUACGUCCCUGCCCUUUGUACACACCGCCCGUCGCUCCUACCGAUUGAGUGCUCAGGUGAAUAAUUCGGACUGCAGCAAUGUUUGGAUCCCGAACGUUGCAGCGGAAAGUUUAGUGAACCUUAUCACUUAGAGGAAGGAGAAGUCGUAACA